This 274-nucleotide ribosomal RNA is filed under the name uncultured bacterium. RNAcentral describes it as "partial 16S ribosomal RNA". It matches the Rfam family "Bacterial small subunit ribosomal RNA", at positions 523 to 796 of the family's 1533-position model. The record is from RNAcentral.
AUACGUAGGGUGCAAGCGUUAAUCGGAAUUACUGGGCGUAAAGCGCUCGUAGGCGGCUUGUUAAGUCGGAUGUGAAAUCCCCGGGCUCAACCUGGGAACUGCAUUCGAUACUGGCAGGCUAGAGUAUAGUAGAGGCAAGUGGAAUUCCGGGUGUAGCGGUGAAAUGCGUAGAUAUCCGGAGGAACAUCAGUGGCGAAGGCGACUUGCUGGACUAAUACUGACGCUGAGGAGCGAAAGCGUGGGGAGCAAACGGGAUUAGAAACCCCAGUAGUCC